GACGAACGCUGGCGGCGUGCUUAACACAUGCAAGUCGAACGGAAAGGCCCUGCUUUUGUGGGGUGCUCGAGUGGCGAACGGGUGAGUAACACGUGAGUAACCUGCCCUUGACUUUGGGAUAACUUCAGGAAACUGGGGCUAAUACCGGAUAGGAGCUCCUGCUGCAUGGUGGGGGUUGGAAAGUUUCGGCGGGUGGGGAUGGACUCGCGGCUUAUCAGCUUGUUGGUGGGGUAGUGGCUUACCAAGGCUUUGACUGGUAGCCCGCCUGGGAGGGUGACCGGCCACAUUGGGACUGAGAUACGGCCCAGUGUCCUACGGGGGGCAGCAGUGGGGAAUAUUGCACAAUGGGCGGAAGCCUGAUGCAGCAACGCCGCGUGCGGAAUGACGGCCUUCGGGUUGUAAACCGCUUUCGCCUGUGACGAAGCGUGAGUGACGGUAAUGGGUAAAGAAGCACCGGCUAACUACGUG
Molecule: ribosomal RNA, 468 nt
Filed under: uncultured bacterium
Lineage: Bacteria
Description: partial 16S ribosomal RNA
Rfam family: Bacterial small subunit ribosomal RNA
Source: RNAcentral